Molecule: ribosomal RNA, 253 nt
Filed under: uncultured bacterium
Lineage: Bacteria
Description: partial 16S ribosomal RNA
Rfam family: Bacterial small subunit ribosomal RNA
Source: RNAcentral
GACAGCGGGUGCAAACGUUGUUCGGAAUUACUGGGCGUAAAGCGUGUGUAGGCGGUCCACUAAGUCGGGUGUGAAAGCCCUGGGCUCAACCCAGGAAGUGCACUCGAAACUGGCGGGCUUGAGUAUCGGAGAGGUUGGUGGAAUUCUCGGUGUAGAGGUGAAAUUCGUAGAUAUCGAGAGGAACACCGGUGGCGAAGGCGGCCAACUGGACGAAUACUGACGCUGAGACACGAAAGCGUGGGGAGCAAACAGG